AAGCAAAUACCUUUUAAAAAAAAAAUAGAAAGGUUAUCUGAUUGGUUGCUAUGGGCAACUACUCCACUCUUCCUCUACACAGGGUUUGAAAUAUUUCCACCAUGACCCUUGGAGAUGUGCAGAUUUUUCCAAUUCGGCACAGAACUGGACCUAAAUUGGUACGGAAUUGCAGUGGAAAUUCUGCUACCAAAAAUUCAGUACGGAAUUCUGGUUCUGGCCAGAAACAAAGGACUGCCCCUUUUGGACCAUUUGCAAACCAAGCAGUAUCAGCAAUAGAACAGAGAGCUGACAGAGACCCAAAGAGACAAAAGUGAUCCGUGAUACCUGAGUCUAACGAAGAAACUGAUAUACACUAUACAUGAUGUGACUUGUCAAGUCCACGCUCAACCCAAUGUUCUACAAGGAUGCAGUUACAUGUCCCUUGGUUAGCAGUUGACUUGCUUGGAUGCCUUUAACUGGAGCUGCACAAACAAUAAAUUCCUCUAUGGAUAGCUGAUUUUCAUACGGCACUGACCGAACAUCCACAUGAAGGAAAUCAAUACUAUUAGAGAGAUCAAGACCAUUGAAGUUCAACUUGAGGCAACCAUAAAUCCUGAUGACUUCUCAAAAACAAAAAAACACACAAAAAAUUGUACGAGACAAAGAGGAUUUCUUGCAAAAUCGAGUCUACAAGUGGCAGGAUCCUAUUUCUUCUCAACGUCCAUACUACUCCAGGGGCCCAUCACAGGACUCCUAUUCAUCCAGCUCAGAUGGCACUGAUUUCUACUAUCAACGAGGUCCCUUCGGCGGCAGACGUCAUCCCCAGAGGAGACGUGGAGGUGGGGCCAUCCUCAAUCCAAUGGACGGUGGUGUCACUACUAGAUCACAGGCUCGGUAACUGGGAAACAUCCGAAUCAAUGCUUUGAUGACUGUUUUCCAUUUCAAUCCGGUAAGCCCCAGGAUUUAAUAGAAAUAGACAACAUAUCCGCUCUGAUGUGCCUAUGUUAUCUGUACCAUGUAAUACUUGCCUUUUGCUAUUUCAUACCUGUCUAUAUGUUACUUUGUACAUUACUUUCUGACCUACAAAUCUGUCAUUAUAAUAAUUUUUA
This is a long non-coding RNA of Hyla sarda, 1088 nucleotides long. RefSeq lists it as uncharacterized. The transcript is spliced from 6 exons. The record is from RefSeq and is a predicted model, not a curated record. Lineage: Eukaryota; Metazoa; Chordata; Amphibia; Anura; Hylidae.